GUGGGGAAUCUUCCGCAAUGGACGAAAGUCUGACGGAGCGACGCCGCGUGAGUGAAGAAGGCCUUCGGGUCGUAAAGCUCUGUCAUCAGGGACGAACGGCCGGUGGAGUGGAAAGCCACCGGAUUGACGGUACCUGAGAAGGAAGCCACGGCUAACUACGUGCCAGCAGCCGCGGUAAUACGUAGGUGGCAAGCGUUGUCCGGAAUUAUUGGGCGUAAAGCGCGCGCAGGUGGGAUCUUAAGUCCAUUUUGAAAGUUCGGAGCUCAACUCCGUGAUGGGAUGGAAACUGGGAUUCUUGAGUACCGGAGAGGAAAGCGGAAUUCCCCGUGUAGCGGUGAAAUGCGUAGAUAUGGGGAGGAACACCAGUGGCGAAGGCGGCUUUCUGGACGGUGUCUGACACUGAGGCGCGAAAGCUAGGGGAGCAAACAGGAUUAGAAACCCCAGUAGUCC
Molecule: ribosomal RNA, 450 nt
Filed under: uncultured bacterium
Lineage: Bacteria
Description: partial 16S ribosomal RNA
Rfam family: Bacterial small subunit ribosomal RNA
Source: RNAcentral